Molecule: ribosomal RNA, 408 nt
Filed under: uncultured bacterium
Lineage: Bacteria
Description: partial 16S ribosomal RNA
Rfam family: Bacterial small subunit ribosomal RNA
Source: RNAcentral
GACGAACGCUGGCGGCGUGCUUAACACAUGCAAGUCGAACGGAGUGGCGAAAGGGUGAGUAACAAGUGGGUGACCUGCCCUGCACUUCGGGAUAAGCAUGGGAAACUGGGUCUAAUACCGGAUAGUGUGGGAUGGGCCCGCGGCCUAUCAGCUUGUUGGUGGGGUAAUGGCAUACCAAGGCGGCGACGGGUAGCCGGACUGGGAGGGGUGACGGCAACAGUGGGACUGAGUCACGACCCGGACUGCUACGGGAGGCAGCAGUGGGAAAUAGUGCACAAUGGGCGGAAGGCUGAUGCAGCGACGCCGCGUGGGGGAUGACGGCCUUCGGGUUGUAAACUCCUUUCACCAGCGACGCGGUAGAUGGAGAAGAAGCACCGGCUAACUACGUGCCAGCAGCCGCGGUAAUAC